This 400-nucleotide unclassified non-coding RNA is filed under the name uncultured fungus. RNAcentral describes it as "sequence contains ITS1". The stretch from base 1 to 105 matches the Rfam family "5.8S ribosomal RNA", at positions 50 to 154 of the family's 154-position model. Lineage: Eukaryota; Fungi. The record is from RNAcentral.
AAACUGCGAUACUUAGCGUGAAUUGCAGAAUUCAGCGAAUCGUCGAGACCUUGAACGCAUCUUGCGCCCGGGGGCACCCCCCCGGGCACGCUUGUUUGAGCGUCACCUUAUCAUUCUCCCCAAAAACCCUCUUACGGGGGCACUCUGGGGGACUUUGGGCGAUGGACUCUAGGAGUCCACCGGCCGAAACGAGGCGCGAGUGGAAGUCUCCGGGCCGGCAAGGCGGAGCGCAGCGCUGCGAGGUUUGCUGCCCCUCGGGGAGCGCCGACGCACACGCCCGCCUCGCCUCUGCCGGGUACAACCCGGGGCGCCGCUCAGCGGACGGCCGCCUCCCUCGCAAGAGAGGGGCGGGCAAUCGCAUACAUCAAAUCUGCGACCUCAAAUCAAGCGACGUCACCCG